GGGUGUUUAACAGUUGUGUUAGAUAGGUAUUCGUUGAAGGCGGGCCACUUCAA
This 53-nucleotide non-coding RNA is filed under the name Acinetobacter johnsonii SH046. The record is from RNAcentral. RNAcentral also lists the same sequence under 3 other names. Lineage: Bacteria; Pseudomonadati; Pseudomonadota; Gammaproteobacteria; Moraxellales; Moraxellaceae.